AAGAAAAAGAAUUACAACCAUGGCCCGAGGGCCUCCACCCGACCUAUUCUGCCCCAGAUCGAACCCUUCCACCAAAUCGAACCCUCGCUCCUCCUCGACCGCCGCCGUCGCCGCCCCCACCCCUAUGCCGUUGGCCACACCCUCUCUCUUGGCUGAUCUGUGCAACCCCAUCGGGAUCUAUGGCGGCAGUGCUUGGAUCUCGGCGUCGCCUCCCUCCAGACGCAUCUGGUGUGCGAGAUCAAAGUCGCCUCCCUCCCUUCGACACCACCACCAGAACUGCUCGACACCGCCGGUCGCCUCCCUCUCUUCUACACGGCGACGAGCAUGGGUGGAUUCCCCUCAUGGCUUCCUCCCCGCGAACGGCGACGCGGUGCCUCCUCUCCACUAUGCACGUACAACACGCUCCUUAGAUCUGUCCUGGUGGAAACUCGAUGAGGUGCUAUUAGGGAAAGGAUUGGAGACUGGUUCUAGUAGUGGUUGGUUUGUUGGAGGAUUUUCUAGUGCUCAUGAUUUGCAAAUGGUUCAGCCAGUACUGGCGUCUAGCAACCUUGAAGCCCACAGUCGACCUGUAGGCCACAUCUCUCUCAGUGUUGCAUGAUGUGCUAUAAGAUGAUAAGUCUUGUGAUUGUGCGCCUUCAGCUCCUUUUAUAUGCCUUCAAGUACCUGGCACACAGUUAUUAUGAGCCAAUGAUAAUUGAACUCCACACUGCUUUUGUUCCACUUGGCCUUCGUUUCACUCUUGCGCCAGCGGCGCAAUGGGUGGAAUCUAGUGUACAAAAGAGUGAACAUGUAAUUUGUCUUCCUGGACAUGGCUGUAGCCAUGCGCUGUGCAUAGCCAUUUGUGUAGCUCAGUUUGAAGAUACAAAAUAUUGUUUUCUUAUGUAAAUUUUGUGUACCAUUGUAGCUGAAUGCUACUGAACACAUGUAUGGAUGUGGAAGUACAAAAUUAUCAGUCUAUG
RNAcentral lists this ribosomal RNA (959 nucleotides) under Triticum aestivum (bread wheat). Its description in RNAcentral is "partial small subunit ribosomal RNA". The record is from RNAcentral. Lineage: Eukaryota; Viridiplantae; Streptophyta; Magnoliopsida; Poales; Poaceae.